Long non-coding RNA from Homo sapiens (human), 1929 nucleotides. The record is from Ensembl. Lineage: Eukaryota; Metazoa; Chordata; Mammalia; Primates; Hominidae.
AGAGUUAAAGCACUCCCACGGACAGGAGACAGAACUGCCUGUGGAGAAUUGCAUUAUAGCCAAGCGCCGGGAUAUAUAUUUAUCUGUGCCUGACAUUCUCAUCUCUUUUUAAAGGAAAAGCCACACAUUUGGCCAAAAGAUGAAGUGGAAAAAAUGUACUGUUGAACAAAUAUCCAGGAUGGUUGCUCAGAAUGUAUAAAAUGAUGAACUGUGUGGAAAAAUCAUGCCUGUGGCAAAUUGUCAGCAGGCUAUAUUUGGGGGUCCGAAUGCAGGGCCCCUGCCAACUGAGUUCACAGAGCCUUAGUGUUUUUCCACUUCUAUUUAUAGCGAUGCACACAUUCACACACAAAAAAUGCAGGGGACAUUGGACUUCGUUUUUAAAUGAUGAAAAUGUUCGAAAUGUAUCUGGUUUCAGCACGUGAGAGCCGCUCUGCUGUCUACGAUCAGCCUUGCUUACUGAAGAAGGGAUUAAUCAACGUGGGGAAAACAACGUAAUAGGAUCCUUUGGGAAUCUGAAAGUCUGAAAACAACUUUUUUCUCUAUUUCCUUUUUAAAAUGUAAUUCACUUCAACAAAACUUUAUUGAGCACCAACGAUGCAAAAUGUUGAAAUGGACAUCUGAUUGUUGUCUCUCAGCCUCCAUUCCUCCUGCCCCUUUUCCAGCAGCCAUUGCUUCUAGUUGGAGAACCACGUGUUUCCAGUGAGGGAGAUUCUUCUUUCCAGCUUCAGAUGUUGAACACAAGACCUGGCUUGGCCAAUCAGGGCAAGCCAUCCCCCUGGGCACAGUGAUUGGCUCAGGCCCACCCCGAGCUGGACCAAUCAGAGUGAAGAGUGAGACUUUGGCCAGGAAUGCUGAAACAAAGACUGAGCCUUAGUGUUGGAUUUGAAGGAAGAAGCCCCAGGAGCUGCUGAGAGCUGUUUUAUAACCAUGAGCCAUGUAAAAUGUGCCUCCUUCGUCUUCUCAUUCUGCCAUGAUUGUAAGUUUCCUGAGGUCUCCCCAGCCACGCUUCCUGAACAGCCUGCGGAACGGCCCAGUCCCAAGGCACAAGACCACUUGUGCCAGCAGCCAGCAGCGUGCAUCAGCAAGACAGCAGAAGCAGGAAGACAGCCUGCUGGAAGACACUUACCCUGGCCGGAAGACAUGUACCCCUGAAGAUGGAGAAAGAGGCCUUCCGGGUACUACGUAGCAGUCACGUCAGACCGGGACACUUCCUGUUUAGAGAGGACUAUAAAACUCCGGUCCGGUAAUCACUUGGGGCUGACGCCAUUUUAGGCCUCAUCCCGCCUGCACCCAGGCACUCAUUAAAACAGCGUGUUGCCCCACACUGCCUCGUGUUGUCUGUUGGUGCGCUCUCGGGGUUCAAACCGAUACAAGAACCUUUCAAAUGGUAGUAAGAUUAAAGGUUUUUACUAAGUUAUUAAUAACAAAAAAGGCACAGAUCUUAAAUGUGCAGUUAUGAAUUUUGGCAAUUGUAUACAUUCAUGUAAUCACUACCCACAACAAAAAUAGAAUGUUUCCACCACCACAAAAAGUUUGCAACACCCCUGUACCUCUUUCUAGUGCAUUUCCAAUCAUGUCCUCAUACCUACCUACCCCACAACCAUUUUUUAAUCUCUUCCAGAGCUAACGCUUAAUACAUUGAAUUUUACAUAAUCUUAGGAUAGACUGUCCCACAUAAAGGAGACUAUCUGCAAUAAUUUAUGUUGGAAGAAUAAGAUAUUGAUGUCAAUUAAUACAUUUUGUGUCCUGGUUUAAAAAUGCUCCUACUAUUAAUUAAAAUUUUAAAGACAUUUUCUUGUGAAAGUAUAAAGGGAUACUUUUUUCUAUUUUGAACAUUAUGAGUUCAAAAGUUCAUUCUGAUAGAAAAUUUUAUUUUGUGUGUUUCAACUAUGUAUGGAUGGAAAUAAAACUAGGAAGAAAUAUAGAUAA